GUGGGGAGGGGAGGGGGAAGUUUGCACACCUCUCUCCAUAUUGAGGGAGGGAGCCAAUUUCAUACUAUAUCUUUGAGUCUGUGCUCCAAGGGAGGUGGACAUCUGAGUGCUGAAGCAAGUUCCUGAAGCUGAGUCUUCCCAGAGCUGAACUGCAGCUGGGUGUGGCCCUGCCUGUGUAUGUGUUAGAGGAAGUUUUAAGAGCUUGGCUCACCAAGACAGGUUAAAGGGGGCCCAUGCUGGCAGAACAGGUAGACUCAGUGGUAUCACAGCACAUCAGAU
Non-coding RNA from Chelonoidis abingdonii (Abingdon island giant tortoise), 279 nucleotides. Lineage: Eukaryota; Metazoa; Chordata; Testudines; Testudinidae. The record is from RefSeq and is a predicted model, not a curated record.